This is a long non-coding RNA of Bos indicus x Bos taurus (hybrid cattle), 1136 nucleotides long. The record is from Ensembl. Lineage: Eukaryota; Metazoa; Chordata; Mammalia; Artiodactyla; Bovidae.
GGGAAGGGGACUGGGCAAGUUAAGAGUAUGGAAUUAACAGGUACAAACUACUGUGUAUAAAAUAGGUAAGCAAUAAGGAUUGACUGUACAGCACAGGGAACCAUAGACAUUAUCUUGUACUAUGCUGCUGCUGCUGCUGCUAAGUCACUUCAGUUUUGUCUGACUCUGUGCUACUCCAUAGACAGCAGCAUACCAGGCUCCUCCGUCCCUGGGAUUCUCCAGGCAAGAACACUGGAGUGGGUUGCCAUUUCCUUCUCCGUAAUCAGUACUGCCGUGAACGCUGCUUGUGCAAUGGCUGCUGUAGCGCCUACGAGUACUGUGUCUCUUGCUGCUGUAGCCCAACAAGCAACUCCUCCUGGAGCGCUUCCUCAACUGGGCAGCUGUGGCAUUCCAGAACCUCUUCAUGGCAGUCGAAGAUCACUUUGAAUUGUGUUUGGCUAAACGCAGGACCUCAUCCCAGUGCACAAUGUUCUGCUUCCUUGCAGAAGGCAAUGGGUCAGACCAAAGGAUGGUUCACCGACUGGGGACACAGUGAAUCCACACUUGGACCCGAAAGAAGCAGGGUCUGAUGGGCAGCCUUCCAGGCCUCGGAGUGACCACAGUCCCCUGCCCCGGCUCCUCACAUGUCACCUGAGGACAGGACCCAGAGGGCCCGCUCUGUUGGGCUGAGGGCCAGAUUCACCCACAGACAUGAUUUUCUUGGAGUGGGGUGAAGAAUUCUGAAUCAAUGGCUAAACACGGAGAAAUCCCACGUGGGACUAGAAGAGGUGGCAGAGGGGCCUUCGGGAGCAUUGGACUUUGGAGCUAUUACCUGAGGCUGAGACCGCUGAGUGAUGGUGGCCAGGUACCAAGCGGCGGCCACGCCGACGUCCCACAUGAGUUAGCAUCACCUGUCAGCUGCCCAUUCAUGUUUGCUCCUGUGGAACUAUUUUCCUGAUGUCUGUCUGUCCAAGCUGGGAAAAUGAAAUCUAGAUUAAAAGAUGUUUGAGAUUUCUCAUACUAACUUACCUUAUCAGGCCUUGGAAGGUGAUGGGGUUUGGGAUAAGCACAGCAGUCUCCUGGGAAAAGCCAGGUCAACUCCAGUUCCCCCAAAUUCCCCUUGGCCGCCUCAUGGCCUUCACUUUGGGCUCCCUGGG